This 494-nucleotide ribosomal RNA is filed under the name uncultured bacterium. RNAcentral's name for it is "bacterial SSU rRNA". It matches the Rfam family "Bacterial small subunit ribosomal RNA", at positions 29 to 516 of the family's 1533-position model. The record is from RNAcentral.
AACGAACGCUGGCGGCGCGCCUAAUACAUGCAAGUCGAGCGAGAAGGUGUAGCAAUACACUUGUAAAGCGGCGAACGGGUGAGGAAUACAUGGGUAAUCUACCAUCGAGUGGGGAAUAACCAGCCGAAAGGUUGGCUAAUACCGCGUACGCCUCCGAAUCUUCGGGUUCGGAGGGAAAGCCACACUGUGAGUGCGGCGCUCUUUGAUGAGCUCAUGUCCUAUCAGCUUGUUGGUAGGGUAACGGCCUACCAAGGCUUUGACGGGUAGCUGGUCUGAGAGGACGAUCAGCCACACUGGCACUGCGACACGGGCCAGACUCCUACGGGAGGCAGCAGUAAGGAAUAUUGCGCAAUGGGCGAAAGCCUGACGCAGCGACGCCGCGUGGGGGAUGAAGGUCUUCGGAUUGUAAACCCCUUUCGGGAGGGAAGAUGGAGCGAGCAAUCGUUCGGACGGUACCUCCAGAAGCAGCCACGGCCAACUUCGUGCCAGCAGCC